CAUUACUGAGUUUACGCUCUAUAACCCUUUGUGAACAUACCUAUCACUGUUGCUUCGGCGGGUAGGGUCUCCGCGACCCUCCCGGCCUCCCGCCUCCGGGCGGGUCGGCGCCCGCCGGAGGAUAACCAAACUCUGAUUUAACGACGUUUCUUCUGAGUGGUACAAGCAAAUAAUCAAAACUUUUAACAACGGAUCUCUUGGUUCUGGCAUCGAUGAAGAACGCAGCGAAAUGCGAUAAGUAAUGUGAAUUGCAGAAUUCAGUGAAUCAUCGAAUCUUUGAACGCACAUUGCGCCCGCCAGCAUUCUGGCGGGCAUGCCUGUUCGAGCGUCAUUUCAACCCUCAAGCUCUGCUUGGUGUUGGGGCCCUACAGCUGAUGUAGGCCCUCAAAGGUAGUGGCGGACCCUCCCGGAGCCUCCUUUGCGUAGUAACUUUACGUCUCGCACUGGGAUCCGGAGGGACUCUUGCCGUAAAACCCCCCAAUUUUCCAAAGGUUGACCUCGGAUCAGGUAGGAAUACCCGCUGAACUUAAGCAUAUCAA
This 539-nucleotide ribosomal RNA is filed under the name Colletotrichum fructicola. RNAcentral describes it as "eukaryotic LSU rRNA". The stretch from base 178 to 331 matches the Rfam family "5.8S ribosomal RNA". Lineage: Eukaryota; Fungi; Ascomycota; Sordariomycetes; Glomerellales; Glomerellaceae. The record is from RNAcentral.